Long non-coding RNA from Arabidopsis thaliana (thale cress), 350 nucleotides. RefSeq annotates it as other RNA. The transcript has a single exon. The record is from RefSeq. Lineage: Eukaryota; Viridiplantae; Streptophyta; Magnoliopsida; Brassicales; Brassicaceae.
UCUUUUUCGACAUGAUGGCUUACAUCAACCAUGUUACUCAAGACCUUCAUCCUCAUCUAGAACAUUAGUUAUUCCAUCCAAAAACAGUCAUUGGGUUUGAGAAGGAAAAAGAGGCUUCAAUGUACGUAGAGUGGCAUCAAGCUCAAAUACCUAGGCUCAGCUCUUUCUCGCCACAUAUCAUAAUAUCUGUGACAUUCUCUUCGGCGAGAUAAUCGUGAAAAUAUUGACUGUGGGGGACACAUUACCUCGGUCGCGCUUUCUCAUUUUAGGAUCAAACACUAAAAAUAUAAUCAUUAUCAGUUUUUCCUUCAACUUAAUAAAUUUAACGCCUAUAUCUUCGUUGUUAUUCC